This 253-nucleotide ribosomal RNA is filed under the name uncultured bacterium. RNAcentral describes it as "partial 16S ribosomal RNA". It matches the Rfam family "Bacterial small subunit ribosomal RNA", at positions 524 to 776 of the family's 1533-position model. The record is from RNAcentral.
UACGGAGGGUGCAAGCGUUAUUCGGAUUCACUGGGUUUAAAGGGUGCGUAGGUGGGCGAGUAAGUCAGUGGUGAAAUCUCCGGGCUUAACCCGGAAACUGCCAUUGAUACUAUUUGUCUUGAAUACUGUGGAGGUCAGCGGAAUAUGUCAUGUAGCGGUGAAAUGCUUAGAUAUGACAUAGAACACCAAUUGCGAAGGCAGCUGGCUAGACAAAUAUUGACACUGAGGCACGAAAGCGUGGGGAGCAAACAGG